UCGAUAACGAACGAGACCUUAACCUGCUAAAUAGCCAGGCCCGCUUUGGCGGGUCGCCGGCUUCUUAGAGGGACUAUCGGCUCAAGCCGAUGGAAGUUUGAGGCAAUAACAGGUCUGUGAUGCCCUUAGAUGUUCUGGGCCGCACGCGCGCUACACUGACAGAGCCAACGAGUUCAUUUCCUUAGCCGAAAGGUUUGGGUAAAGGUUGUUAAACUCUGUCGUGCUGGGGAUAGAGCAUUGCCAUUAUUGCUCUUCAACGAGGAAUGCCUAGUAAGCGCAUGUCAUCAGCAUGCGUUGAUACGUACCUGCCCUUGACACUCGA
This 322-nucleotide ribosomal RNA is filed under the name uncultured fungus. RNAcentral's name for it is "SSU rRNA". It matches the Rfam family "Eukaryotic small subunit ribosomal RNA", at positions 1325 to 1660 of the family's 1831-position model. The record is from RNAcentral. Lineage: Eukaryota; Fungi.